Molecule: non-coding RNA, 210 nt
Organism: Vicia faba (fava bean)
Lineage: Eukaryota; Viridiplantae; Streptophyta; Magnoliopsida; Fabales; Fabaceae
Source: the annotation of a GenBank genome assembly
AUGCAGAUGCUAAGAAGAUUUGCAAAGAGUGAAGAGAGAGCUUUCAGAGUGUUGGUGAUUCUCCUCAGAAAAUUGAAGAAUCAAGCAAUCUCAGGUUCAAUUGAUGGCAUGUCAAAUGAAUGUUCAAGGUUCCCUUUGGCUUGCUUUGGCACUAGAUGCAAGGUGAAUACAGAGUCGUAUUCGAAUGGUUUUCACAGUAUCAUGGAUUAG